This 941-nucleotide ribosomal RNA is filed under the name Mucilaginibacter sp. RNAcentral describes it as "bacterial SSU rRNA". It matches the Rfam family "Bacterial small subunit ribosomal RNA", at positions 56 to 999 of the family's 1533-position model. The record is from RNAcentral. Lineage: Bacteria; Pseudomonadati; Bacteroidota; Sphingobacteriia; Sphingobacteriales; Sphingobacteriaceae.
UGCAGUCGGACGGGAUUGAGAAGCUUGCUUUUCAUGAGAGUGGCGCACGGGUGCGUAACACGUAUGUAACCUACCGUUGUCAGGGGGAUAGCCUCUCGAAAGAGAGAUUAACACCGCAUAAAAUCAUAGAGUAGCAUUACUUAAUGAUCAAAUAUUUAUAGGACAACGAUGGGCAUGCGGGACAUUAGCUAGAUGGUGAGGUAACGGCUCACCAUGGCGACGAUGUCUAGGGGAUCUGAGAGGAUGGCCCCCCACACUGGUACUGAGACACGGACCAGACUCCUACGGGAGGCAGCAGUAAGGAAUAUUGGUCAAUGGAGGCAACUCUGAACCAGCCAUGCCGCGUGCAGGAAGACGGCCCUACGGGUUGUAAACUGCUUUUGUACCGGAAUAAACCUUGAUACGUGUAUCGAGCUGAAUGUACGGUAAGAAUAAGGAUCGGCUAACUCCGUGCCAGCAGCCGCGGUAAUACGGAGGAUCCAAGCGUUAUCCGGAUUUAUUGGGUUUAAAGGGUGCGUAGGCGGCUUAUUAAGUCAGGGGUGAAAGGCGGUAGCUUAACUAUCGGAGUGCCCUUGAUACUGAUGAGCUUGAAUGCAGCUGAGGUAGGCGGAAUGUGACAAGUAGCGGUGAAAUGCAUAGAUAUGUCACAGAACACCGAUGGCGAAGGCAGCUUACUAAAGUGUGAUUGACGCUGAGGCACGAAAGCGUGGGGAUCAAACAGGAUUAGAUACCCUGGUAGUCCACGCCCUAAACGAUGAAUACUCGAUGUUGGCGAUAUACGGUCAGCGUCUAAGCGAAAGCGUUAAGUAUUCCACCUGGGAGUACGCCCGCAAGGCUGAAACUCAAAGGAAUUGACGGGGGCCCGCACAAGCGGAGGAGCAUGUGGUUUAAUUCGAUGAUACCCGAGGAACCUUACCCGGGCUUGAAAGUUAGUGAAUGAU